GUGGGGAAUCUUCCGCAAUGGACGAAAGUCUGACGGAGCAACGCCGCGUGAGUGAAGACGGCCUUCGGGUUGUAAAGCUCUGUUAAUCGGGACGAAAGGUCCGCUUGUGAAUAAUGAGUGGAAUUGACGGUACCGGAAUAGAAAGCCACGGCUAACUACGUGCCAGCAGCCGCGGUAAUACGUAGGUGGCAAGCGUUGUCCGGAAUUAUUGGGCGUAAAGCGCGCGCAGGCGGAUCAGCCAGUCUGUCUUAAAAGUUCGGGGCUUAACCCCGUGAGGGGAUGGAAACUACUGAUCUAGAGUAUCGGAGAGGAAAGUGGAAUUCCUAGUGUAGCGGUGAAAUGCGUAGAUAUUAGGAAGAACACCAGUGGCGAAGGCGACUUUCUGGACGAAAACUGACGCUGAGGCGCGAAAGCCAGGGGAGCGAACGGGAUUAGAAACCCUAGUAGUCC
This 450-nucleotide ribosomal RNA is filed under the name uncultured Veillonellaceae bacterium. Its description in RNAcentral is "bacterial SSU rRNA". It matches the Rfam family "Bacterial small subunit ribosomal RNA", at positions 354 to 796 of the family's 1533-position model. The record is from RNAcentral. Lineage: Bacteria; Bacillati; Bacillota; Negativicutes; Veillonellales; Veillonellaceae.